This 1364-nucleotide ribosomal RNA is filed under the name Microbacterium sp. JXL7. RNAcentral's name for it is "bacterial SSU rRNA". It matches the Rfam family "Bacterial small subunit ribosomal RNA", at positions 57 to 1433 of the family's 1533-position model. The record is from RNAcentral. Lineage: Bacteria; Bacillati; Actinomycetota; Actinomycetes; Micrococcales; Microbacteriaceae.
GCAGUCGAACGGUGAAGCCAAGCUUGCUUGGUGGAUCAGUGGCGAACGGGUGAGUAACACGUGAGCAACCUGCCCUGGACUCUGGGAUAAGCGCUGGAAACGGCGUCUAAUACUGGAUAUGAGACGUGAUCGCAUGGUCGUGUUUGGAAAGAUUUUUCGGUCUGGGAUGGGCUCGCGGCCUAUCAGCUUGUUGGUGAGGUAAUGGCUCACCAAGGCGUCGACGGGUAGCCGGCCUGAGAGGGUGACCGGCCACACUGGGACUGAGACACGGCCCAGACUCCUACGGGAGGCAGCAGUGGGGAAUAUUGCACAAUGGGCGGAAGCCUGAUGCAGCAACGCCGCGUGAGGGAUGACGGCCUUCGGGUUGUAAACCUCUUUUAGCAGGGAAGAAGCGAAAGUGACGGUACCUGCAGAAAAAGCGCCGGCUAACUACGUGCCAGCAGCCGCGGUAAUACGUAGGGCGCAAGCGUUAUCCGGAAUUAUUGGGCGUAAAGAGCUCGUAGGCGGUUUGUCGCGUCUGCUGUGAAAUCCCGAGGCUCAACCUCGGGCCUGCAGUGGGUACGGGCAGACUAGAGUGCGGUAGGGGAGAUUGGAAUUCCUGGUGUAGCGGUGGAAUGCGCAGAUAUCAGGAGGAACACCGAUGGCGAAGGCAGAUCUCUGGGCCGUAACUGACGCUGAGGAGCGAAAGGGUGGGGAGCAAACAGGCUUAGAUACCCUGGUAGUCCACCCCGUAAACGUUGGGAACUAGUUGUGGGGACCAUUCCACGGUUUCCGUGACGCAGCUAACGCAUUAAGUUCCCCGCCUGGGGAGUACGGCCGCAAGGCUAAAACUCAAAGGAAUUGACGGGGACCCGCACAAGCGGCGGAGCAUGCGGAUUAAUUCGAUGCAACGCGAAGAACCUUACCAAGGCUUGACAUAUACGAGAACGGGCCAGAAAUGGUCAACUCUUUGGACACUCGUAAACAGGUGGUGCAUGGUUGUCGUCAGCUCGUGUCGUGAGAUGUUGGGUUAAGUCCCGCAACGAGCGCAACCCUCGUUCUAUGUUGCCAGCACGUAAUGGUGGGAACUCAUGGGAUACUGCCGGGGUCAACUCGGAGGAAGGUGGGGAUGACGUCAAAUCAUCAUGCCCCUUAUGUCUUGGGCUUCACGCAUGCUACAAUGGCCGGUACAAAGGGCUGCAAUACCGUGAGGUGGAGCGAAUCCCAAAAAGCCGGUCCCAGUUCGGAUUGAGGUCUGCAACUCGACCUCAUGAAGUCGGAGUCGCUAGUAAUCGCAGAUCAGCAACGCUGCGGUGAAUACGUUCCCGGGUCUUGUACACACCGCCCGUCAAGUCAUGAAAGUCGGUAACACCUGAAGCCGGUGG